Molecule: ribosomal RNA, 376 nt
Filed under: uncultured bacterium
Lineage: Bacteria
Description: bacterial SSU rRNA
Rfam family: Bacterial small subunit ribosomal RNA
Source: RNAcentral
UACGGGGGGGGCAAGCGUUGUUCGGAAUUACUGGGCGUAAAGGGUUCGUAGGUGGCUUGCUAAGUCAGACGUGAAAUCCCUCAGCUUAACUGGGGAACUGCGUCUGAUACUGGCGAGCUUGAGUGCAGGAGAGGAACGCAGAAUUCCAGGUGUAGCGGUGAAAUGCGUAGAUAUCUGGAGGAAUACCGGUGGCGAAGGCGGCGUUCUGGACUGCAACUGACACUGAUGAACGAAAGCCAGGGGAGCAAACGGGAUUAGAUACCCCGGUAGUCCUGGCCCUAAACGAUGAAUGCUUGGUGUGGCGGGUAUCGAUCCCUGCCGUGCCGAAGUUAACGCGUUAAGCAUUCCGCCUGGGGAGUACGGUCGCAAGGCUGAA